Molecule: ribosomal RNA, 468 nt
Filed under: uncultured bacterium
Lineage: Bacteria
Description: partial 16S ribosomal RNA
Rfam family: Bacterial small subunit ribosomal RNA
Source: RNAcentral
GACGAACGCUGGCGGCGUGCUUAACACAUGCAAGUCGAACGGAAAGGCCCUGCUUUUGUGGGGUGCUCGAGUGGCGAACGGGUGAGUAACACGUGAGUAACCUGCCCUUGACUUUGGGAUAACUUCAGGAAACUGGGGCUAAUACCGGAUAGGAGCUCCUGCUGCAUGGUGGGGGGUGGAAAGUUUCGGCGGUUGGGGAUGGACUCGCGGCUUAUCAGCUUGUUGGUGGGGUAGUGGCUUACCAAGGCUUUGACGGGUAGCCGGCCUGAGAGGGUGACCGGCCACAUUGGGACUGCGGUACGGCCCAGACUCCUACGGGAGGCAGCGGUGGGGAAUAUUGCACAAUGGGCGGAAGCCUGAUGCAGCAACGCCGCGUUCGGGAUGACGGCCUUCGGGUUGUAAACCGCUUUCGCCUGUGACGAAGCGUGAGUGACGGUAAUGGGUAAAGAAGCACCGGCUAACUACGUG